AAGCUUUGCUCGAUGUUUAUUAUUUCAGCGCAGUCUCUUUAAAUCCGGUCCGGUGGUGUGACGUCACGCCGCAGCUGACCGUGAUGAAGCGCGAUUGAGUUUAUUCAUCUCCGUGAAACACGCAGUAAAAUCCUCGUGAUAUUGACACUCUAGAGCGUGUUUUAUUUUACUUCUUUGAGUUUAUAGAGUGUGCGCUUCACAGGAUCUCCAUUUAUUCCUCAGCAUCUUGACUCACGGCCAUGAUCACCUCCACACCGCUGGAAAGCCGCGCCCCCGCCGCCACGCGCUCCUCCAGGCGCAGCGGAGCGUCUCCGGCCAAUGUCAGCCCGACCCGUAUCACGCGCCUGCAGGAGAAGGAGGACCUGCGGCAUCUCAAUGACCGCCUGGCCAACUACAUCGAGCGGGUUCGGCUGCUGGAGAAUGAGAAGUCUUCCAUGCAGCUCCUGCUGGAGGAGAAGUCGGAGACCUCGGUGCGCGAGGUGGGCAACGUGCGCCGCCUGUACGAGACGGAGCUGGCGGAUGCGCGCAAAACUCUCGACGCGACCGCGAACGAGCGGGCCAGACUACAAAUCGAGUUGACACAGCUGCAGGAAGAGCACAGAAAACUCACAGCCAGGAAUAAUAAGAAAGAGUGUGAACUGAACACUGCUGUCGGUCAUUGGCGGAACCUUGAAGCCGCUCUGAACUCUAAAGAAGCAGAUUACACAAAUCUACUGUCCACCAACCGCAGACUCGAGAAUGACAUUUCUGACCUCAAGACACAAGUGUCGAAACUGGAGUCGGCCCUGCAGAACGCCAAGAGUCAGCUCAACGCUGAGCUGCUUCGCCGUGUGGAUGCUGAAAAUCAGAUCCAGACGCUUCAGGAGCAGCUUGACUUUCAGAAGCAUCUCAGCGACCAGGAGGUGCGAGAGAUGCGCAGUCGUCACGAGAGCCGGCUGAUGGAGCUGGACACGGGCAGACAGAAAGAGUUUGAGGGUAAACUCGCUGAAGCCAUGAAACAGCUCCGAGAGGAACACGAAAGUCACAUCCAACAGUACAAAGAUGAACUGGAGAAAACCUUCGCUGCUAAGAGUGAGUUGAAGUGCAGGUCAGGUGUAGUUCAGGGCUUUGAGCGACAGGGGGCGCUGGAGAGGCAGCACGAGCCAGUUACUUUCACACACCCGGUUCCACAUCUUUCUGUUAUGCUGGAAAACGCGAAGCUGGCAGCCGUGAAGAACAGCGAUUUCGCUUCUUCAACGAGAGAGGAACUGGCGGGAACCAAACUCCGGCUGGAGGCUCAGUCUGCACAGAUCAACAUCCUCCAGAAACAGAACUCUGAGUUGGAGUCCCGGGUUCGUGAGCUGGAGCAGAUGCUGGAUCGAGAGAGACAGAUCCAUCAGCACAGACUCUCUCAGAAGGAUCAGGAGAUGGCCGACAUGAGACAGCAGAUGCAAGACCAGCUGGAGGAGUACCAGAACCUUCUAGAUGUCAAGCUCAUGCUGGAUAUGGAGAUCAACGCUUACAGGAAGAUGCUGGAGGGCGAGGAGAAGCGAUUGAAUCUUUCACCGAGUUCGCUCCAGCAGUCGACCAUCUCUCGCACCCACUCGCAUCCCGCUCGUAAAAACUGGGGAAAGAAGCGCAAGCACGAAGGCUCCAGUAGCGGCCUCUCCCCCAACUACAAGUUUUCCCAGCAUUCCUCCUCUCGAGGACAAGUGUCCAUAGAUGAGAUUGACCUGGAGGGAAAGUUCAUCAAACUCAGGAAUAAUUCUGAGAAGGAUCAAGCACUGGGCGGCUGGGUGUUGAGGAAGAGUCAGCCGGACGCACCUGAUAUCAUCUUCCAGGUCCCGUCCUCUUGUGUACUGAGUGCUGGACAGAUGCUUACGGUCUGGGCAGCAGGUGCAGUUGUGGAGCAGAACUGUGAAUGUGAUCUGGUACUGAAGACACAUGACACGUGGGGUCCGUUUGGUGAAGUCCGAGUGUCUCUGAUAAACCCAGAGAAUGAGGAAGUAGCAGAGUUCUGUCUGGUAUGUGUUCAGGGACAAGCUGAUGGAGAUCCAGACGGUGAUGAAAACAUGGUGAUGCCUGACAUUCACCUGCGACGACAGGUAACACAAAUUAAUCAGCAUAAAAUGACACUUCUAUUAUGACUUAUUUUCAUGCUGCUGUUAUCCACAACACGUGUUAUUGUUAUCGAACAAAUAGCAGGAGCUGCAGGCUUUAAUGGUGAACUGUCUCUUUAAGAAUGUGUUGCUCAGUGAGUUAAAUGAUGAAGAGCUGAUGUGUGUAUUUGUAUCUCUAUCACCUCUGUUUUGUGAAAGUCUAAAAGACGGAAAAAGAAAUGUUGCUCUCUGUCGUGAUGUGUCUCAGAGAAGACGCGUCUGCAGGUUAAAAGUCAUCAUCAGGAUGCCAGCUGUGUGGUCAUGUGAGAGACUCGGCUGUACCAUCCAGCAAGAAUUUUUAGAGGAUACGUGCGCUAACUGUCUGAACUAACUUAUUUCGUAAAUGUCCUGUCAAGAAAGUUUCGUUUUUACAUUGACUUAUUUGUUGCUGUUUGUUCUACUAAAUAA
This is an RNA transcript of Triplophysa dalaica, 2546 nucleotides long. It is a transcript of the gene named lamin L3, with no coding region annotated. The record is from RefSeq and is a predicted model, not a curated record. NCBI's taxonomy places the organism in Eukaryota, Metazoa, Chordata, Actinopteri, Cypriniformes, Nemacheilidae. The transcript has 12 exons.